Molecule: RNA transcript, 2183 nt
Organism: Gossypium raimondii (Peruvian cotton)
Lineage: Eukaryota; Viridiplantae; Streptophyta; Magnoliopsida; Malvales; Malvaceae
Gene name: transcription termination factor MTERF4, chloroplastic
Exons: 3
Source: RefSeq, a predicted model, not a curated record
AAAAUUUUAGAAAGAAACCCACAACGUAGAUAAAGGCAAAUAGAUAAAUGCUAGAGGAAAAAAUCUACUAGUAGCACCUGCCUUGCUUCCAAGUUCGCAACCCAGGGCCUUACUUUGGCUGCACCCACACCGUUCCACCCUUCUCCGGCCACCGGAAACCGACAACGCUCGUCUCCUUCGAAAGCUCUGAAAUAUUUCAUAUCCUGAGAACUGUGAGAUUAUGAAGAUCAGAAGCUGUGUUGGCAUUACAAAACCAAGUCUUCUGCUUGUACAUUCUGAGUUACCCGCACUUACCUUCCAUAAAACCAAGUUAACAUGGACAUCAACCCUUAGAUUCCCAAGUAACUAUGAGAGGACUUCUGGAUCGGUUACUAGGUUUCAUUGCAGUGUUGCUGGUAGAACCGGUGCUUCUACAUCUGUUAGUUCAUCUUCAUCGAAGUCAAAUACUGUUCAUUUGAGCCGGAAACAAGUCAAACCCUCAUCCUUGUAUAGUCGUCCUAGUUUGUCGAACAUGAAGAAAGAGAGGAUAGCAAAUCGCGCUAAGGUUUAUGAGUUUUUGAGGGUACUUGGUAUUAUUCCUGAUGAGCUAGAUGGGUUAGAACUUCCUGUAACGGUUGAGGUUAUGCAGGAACGGAUCGAUUUUCUUCAUAAGUUGGGGCUUACUAUUGAAGACAUUAACAAUUAUCCACUGGUCCUCGGUUGUAGUGUGAAAAAGAACAUGAUUCCCGUGCUUGAUUAUUUGGGGAAAUUGGGUGUUAGAAAAUCCACUUUCACUGAGUUUUUGAGAAGAUAUCCACAAGUUCUCCAUGCAAGUGUUGUGGUUGACCUUGCCCCAGUUGUAAAGUAUCUUCAAGGGUUGGAUAUUAAGCCUAAUGAUAUUCCUCGGGUCCUUGAGAAAUAUCCAGAAGUACUGGGAUUCAAGCUUGAGGGGACAAUGAGCACAUCAGUGGCUUAUCUAGUCGGCAUUGGAGUGUCAAGAAGGGAAGUUGGAGGGGUCUUAACCAAAUACCCUGAGAUUCUUGGGAUGCGAGUGGGCCGCGUGAUAAAGCCAUUUGUGGAGUAUCUUGAAGGUUUGGGUAUUCCUAGGUUAGCUAUAGCUAGAUUGAUAGAGAAGCGACCUCAUAUCCUUGGGUUUGGAUUGGAGGAGAGGGUCAAACCAAAUGUUGCAUCCCUUCUAGAGUUCAAUGUCAGAAAAGCAUCUCUUCCAUCUAUAGUAGCACAAUAUCCUGAAAUUAUAGGAAUUGAUCUAAAGCCGAAGCUUCUUGGUCAAAGGAGUUUGAUUCAAUCAAUUAUUGAUUUGGAACCUGAGGAUUUUGGGACCGUUGUGGAGAAAAUGCCUCAGAUUGUGAGCCUUAGCAACACUUCUAUGGUGAAACAUGGAGAUUUCCUAAAGGGUUGUGGAUUUUCCUUGCAACAAGUGAGGUCCAUGGUUGUGGAAUGUCCCCAGAUCCUUGCUUUGAAUCUUGACAUCAUGAAACUUAGCUUUGAUUACUUUCAAAUGGAGAUGCAGAGGCCUCUUGAUGAUUUGGUUGCUUUCCCAGCAUUCUUUACAUAUGGUCUUGAAUCUACUAUAAAGCCUAGAGACAAGAUUGUAGCGAAGAAAGGUUUUAAAUGUUCUCUUUCAUGGCUUCUUAACUGCUCUGAUGAGAAGUUUAAGGAGCGGUUGAACUAUGACACAAUUGAGAUGGAGGAAAUGGAGACAAUGCCUUCAUUUGACAUGAAUUCACUGAUGGAACCGAGGAGUGAUGAGUCUGAUUCUGACUAUGAGGAGGAUAGUGACGAUGAGUAUGCAUAAAUCUAUUAGAAAAUGCUUGGCUUUUUUCAAAUCAGACGAUCCAAAUUUAGGAAGCCAUACCCUUACUGGAGACUGAUGUUCCGUCUGCUGUAAUGCAUCGCUCAUCCGGGCAUCAGAGUUUUGCAUCUGAUUUUUUAGUAGAUCUAGAUACCUAUAAAGUAGAGGCUAUAAGUAGGCACCAUAGUUUCAAUGCAUGAUGUUUCAAUUCUCCAAUAUGUUCCCAAUUAUUUUCAUUUUAAGUUGUGAUUUUUACCGCAGAAGGAAAUCAAGGUUUUUGUAUUUUAGAGGUCAACUUCAGCAGUCAAAUACGAAACAUCUUGCAACUUGUAGCUACUGGCUUAAAUUAUAUUAAAACCAUUUUUAGCAGAAAUAAUGUUCAUUUCAUCCU